This 2606-nucleotide long non-coding RNA is filed under the name Zea mays. RNAcentral's name for it is "long non-coding RNA (ZMAY_LNC002530)". Lineage: Eukaryota; Viridiplantae; Streptophyta; Magnoliopsida; Poales; Poaceae. The record is from RNAcentral.
GCGUAAAGAUAGUAUAAUACUUUAUUACAUCAUCUGAAACAUUGUAUCUUUAACAAGUAUCACAUCAAAGUAAAGCGGAAAUAAAUAACAGGGGCAAUCUCCCACAGGAAGAUGACCGGCGCAUCGUUAGACUUAGAAUUCAUCGUCGUCGAUAAAAUCUCCAUCAAAGUCUCCAGCAUCACCCUCUGAUCAAAAUUAAGCAAGGGUGAGCUCACUUAUGGUCGGGGCUCAGCAAGUGGGGGAAAAACUAAUGCAGGUAUAACAAGGUGAGGCUAAGUUUGAGCAGUAAGCAUUUUAGUUGGUCAACAUUUUAUUAACAUCACCUGUCUUACUAAUACGUGUGAAUCCCAAAUAUCCCAUUUAAACAAAGGAAUAUGAAUAUAACAAAAACACUUAAGUGAAACCACUUAAGCAAAUUAUUGGCAGAUCAUCGGAUCUCAAUUUAAUUCCAUCUUCAAGUUCAAUUAUCAUGUGAGGAGUCCAGGUCGCUCAUAACCGGGAGCACGGCUGAUAUAUCAGUUUUACACUCUGCAGAGGUGGUACAACUUUACCCACAAGCCAUGUAUCCCAUCUAGCCCGGGUUGAUCGGACCCUUAGACACUGCCGAGGUGAAUGGCUAGGGAUCCAUUAUGAGGUUUUCACAAAAUACCUUAAUACGAAGCAACCCGCUAAGGUUUCUAAGACGAUGGUGGUGGCCCCCUGGGUGAAGUACCUUAGCCAAGAAUACGACCCCAUGUUAACGUGGGCUGCCAGCACCUACCGCUCCCCCUCUUGCCCAUCUUUCAGGUAAGGUUGCUAGGCACUAAGCAUAUAGAGCUAUUUACCAAAGCCAGAGCCAUGAUAGCACUCGUGGUUGCACUGUUAUCCUGGGUGGUCACUCCAUGUUCCAAUUAAAUUUGUAAUAAAGUUAUCUUAACCAUCGGGUUAAUGCCAUAUUUGCCAAUUAAAUCUUUGGAACAUUAAAACCAAUUAAUGAGUGACAUUAAGAAAUCAUUAAGUUGAGCGGUAGCAUAAAUCUUGCACAGCUUAAUUAUUUCCCCAGGUUAAACAAGGAAUACAGGUAGUAAAUCUAGGAAAUCCUUAAUUAGGCUAUCCCAUCAAAUUAUGCAAUAUAUCAAAAAGUAAACAUUAUUAUAUGCAAUGAAUAGGUACAAACAGAAUAUGCAGAGGGAGAAUCCACUUGCCUUGCACAAAAUCGUCCUGCGUGUCGUCUUCAAACGUAUUUGGGUCCUCUACCACACAAUCAGUUUCUAAUAGCGUCGCACAUCGUACAUACAAAAGAAAACAUUCACCAAUAAAUAAACAUACACCAUUACAUAGGUGAAGCAUACAUCAUACAAUAAAACAUACAUUUAAACAAAUCACAUUUAUAAGAAGGAAUGCAAAACAUGAUUUGUAUCUACCCUAUAAAUCUUAACCAUAUCAACGAUCAAUUUAUUUGCUAUGACUAACUACUUUGUUUCAUUAUCUUACUAGAAAACUUGUAUGACAAUUCGACUAUGGAUAUGCAUACUAUAUAAAUUCAUUUAAAAUCAUAGAUACAACUUUAACCCAAAUUCUAGGGAAUCUAGUUUAUUUACUAAAUAAUUAUCUCUAUCGUAAAACACGGGUCACAUUCUAGUUUUAGUCUUUCUUUCUAAAAGGAAAUUAUAUCAAUUGUUAAAAUAUUAUUUAUAAAUCACAAAACCAUAGUAUUAAAGAACUAAAUUAAACUACAAAUUUUAUCUCUACUAUUUAGAUUACGUUGGACUAUAUUGUUUCAACGUCAAUAAAAUAUUUACUAUUUCUUAGCGAAUAACCAAUAUAAUUAUAUUGCGCAUGAGCGUGCGAGUCUUGUCUAUAAGUCAGAAUCAUAAUGUAAGCAACGGCGCAUACUUAUUUAUCUAGCGCUUUUUGUUACUAAUAUGUAGUCUACCUAUUCCUUAGUCCUUUACUCCAACAAACCAUAAUUAAAUUAAUUCUCAAUGGGUAUAACCAAAUUAAAAUGCACAAACUCGAAAGACAGCAGAGACACUAACUAAAAUAUCUUAUCACAUACACAUGAAGUUAAUCGUUCCACAUACACAUGAUUUGGAUUCCAAUAUAUACAAAUUUAAAAAUAAUGAAUCGCUGCAGGGGUUAGAUAUCUUAUUCAACUUAUACUUCAGGGGGUAGACUAGAAGAUCGCCUUCUUCUACCACUGGAAUGCACAUACCAGAGAAGCAGGGAGCCACGACCGUGGGGCUUUGGGCACGAAGAAGGGACAACCAGACGGCUUUGGCGCGUGACACGGCACAGCACGAGCACGAAGGCCCAGGGGAGGCAGGGACGGCCUCGGGUCGUCGAACGGAGCAGGGGAUGACGUCGAGGCGGCCACGGGCGUCACGACGAGCUGCUUGCCGGCGACAAAGAACAGAGGCGGCGACGAGCAGAGGACCGGCAGGGGUCAGCCGCGGUCGAGUUCGUCGGGCAGGGCUCGGCCAAGGCAGCAGAGGAGGUCGCCGACGCGGGGAAAGGUCGACGGCGCUCAAGGGGAGGACGGGGAACGACGUCGAGGUCUCCGGCGGUGUUGAGCUUCACUGCGGCGAGCUCCACAACGACGAUGGACGACCAACAGAGGAAUGAAA